Non-coding RNA from Cordylochernes scorpioides, 73 nucleotides. The record is from the annotation of a GenBank genome assembly. NCBI's taxonomy places the organism in Eukaryota, Metazoa, Arthropoda, Arachnida, Pseudoscorpiones, Chernetidae.
CCCCAAAGAGCUCAGUUGGGAGAGCGUUAAACUGGAGGUCUAAAGGUCCCUGGUUUGAUCCCGGGUUUCGGCA